UCCGCGAUGGUGUAAUGGCAACACAGCGGUCUUUGGAACCGUUAUUCUAGGUUCGAGUCCUAGUCGCGGAG
RNAcentral lists this transfer RNA (71 nucleotides) under Actinomycetaceae bacterium. RNAcentral's name for it is "tRNA-Gln". It matches the Rfam family "tRNA". From Rfam's summary of the family: Transfer RNA (tRNA) molecules are approximately 80 nucleotides in length. The record is from RNAcentral. Lineage: Bacteria; Bacillati; Actinomycetota; Actinomycetes; Actinomycetales; Actinomycetaceae.